This 403-nucleotide ribosomal RNA is filed under the name uncultured bacterium. Its description in RNAcentral is "bacterial SSU rRNA". It matches the Rfam family "Bacterial small subunit ribosomal RNA", at positions 28 to 431 of the family's 1533-position model. The record is from RNAcentral.
GACGAACGCUGGCGGCGUGCUUAACACAUGCAAGUCGAGCGGUAAGGCCCUUUCGGGGGUACACGAGCGGCGAACGGGUGAGUAACACGUGGGUGACCUGCCCUCAGCUCUGGGAUAAGCCUGGGAAACCGGGUCUAAUACCGGAUAUGACUCCAUGACGCAUGUUGUGGGGUGGAAAGCCUUGUGCGGCUGGAGGGUGGGCCCGCGGCCUAUCAGCUUGUUGGUGGGGUGANGGCCUACCAAGGCGACGACGGGUAGCCGGCCUGAGAGGGCGACCGGCCACACUGGGACUGAGACACGGCCCAGACUCCUACGGGAGGCAGCAGUGGGGAAUCUUGCGCAAUGGACGAAAGUCUGACGCAGCGACGCCGCGUGUGGGAUGACGGUCUUCGGAUUGUAAACC